CCGGCAUUUCCUCCCGGCUGUCUAGCUUCGGGGUUUCCUUGCGUUCUUUCUCUCAGGGUUCAGUCUUCCACCCUUGCCCUUUGUCCCACGGUCGCAGGGAACAGGUGCUGUGUUUAGGACCCAGUGGAUGACGAAACUCACCAGAGACCUCAUAGCUAAAGAAUGGCCAGCCUGUGUUUUGAAUCUAGGCAAUCUGGACCCCAUAGCCGUCCAGCCUAAAGGUGGGACCUCUGAGAGGUGAUUAGCUGUGAAGGCAGAGCCGUCCUGAAUGGGAUUAAUGCCCUUGUGAAAGAGACCCCAGGGAGCUCCCUCACCCCUUCCACCAUGGAGGACAGCACAAAGAUGGACAUCUGUGAACCAGGAAGUGGGCUCUCACCAGACACUGAAUCUGCCAGUGCCUUAAUCUUGGACUUCUCAGCCUCCAGAACUGUGAAGGAUAUAUAUUUCUCAAUUUUUGCUGUUUAUGAGCCACCCAGUUUAUGGUGUUCUGUUAUAGCAGCCCAAAUUGACUAAUACAUAUGUAAAAGUAAACAAACAAAUAGUUUAAAAAUCAGCUGUCCUGUUCCUUAACUUGCUCUAAUUGGCCCUACAAGAAGUAUGUGACAGUUCCCCCUAACAUCACAUCUGACACAUGUUGGAGUGGAGGGCUCGAUGACUCUUUAUGGAAUUUUGAUUUAUCUUAGUUUCUCUAUAAUAAAAGUAAAUAUCUUUUCUUAUUUUAGAGCAUUAUAAAGCUCACAAAUGUGUUCUUUUGAUGAGGAUUUUUAGGCUGCUUAAUUUUAAAAUGGUUUAUGAUGAGGAUUUUUAGGCUGGUUACUUUUAAAACUGCA
Long non-coding RNA from Equus quagga, 830 nucleotides. RefSeq lists it as uncharacterized. The transcript is spliced from 3 exons. The record is from RefSeq and is a predicted model, not a curated record. Lineage: Eukaryota; Metazoa; Chordata; Mammalia; Perissodactyla; Equidae.